RNAcentral lists this ribosomal RNA (468 nucleotides) under uncultured bacterium. RNAcentral's name for it is "partial 16S ribosomal RNA". It matches the Rfam family "Bacterial small subunit ribosomal RNA", at positions 330 to 793 of the family's 1533-position model. The record is from RNAcentral.
UCCAGACUCCUACGGGAGGCAGCAGUGAGGAAUAUUGGUCAAUGGACGAGAGUCUGAACCAGCCAAGUAGCGUGAAGGAUGACUGCCCUAUGGGUUGUAAACUUCUUUUAUAUGGGAAUAAAAUGUUCCACGUGUGGGAUUUUGUAUGUACCAUAUGAAUAAGGAUCGGCUAACUCCGUGCCAGCAGCCGCGGUAAUACGGAGGAUCCGAGCGUUAUCCGGAUUUAUUGGGUUUAAAGGGAGCGUAGGUGGAUUGUUAAGUCAGUUGUGAAAGUUUGCGGCUCAACCGUAAAAUUGCAGUUGAAACUGGCAGUCUUGAGUACAGUAGAGGUGGGCGGAAUUCCGAGUGUAGCGGUGAAAUGCGUAGAUAUUCGGAGGAACACCGGUGGCGAAGGCGGCCAACUGGGCUUUAACUGACGCUGAGGCUCGAAAGUGUGGGGAGCAAACAGGAUUAGAUACCCGUGUACAG